UGGGGAAUCUUGCGCAAUGGGCGGAAGCCUGACGCAGCAACGCCGCGUGAGGGAAGACGGCCUUCGGGUUGUAAACCUCUUUCAGGGGGGACGAAGCUUCCGGGGUUAAUAGCCCACGGGGUGACGGUACCCCCAGAAGAAGCCCCGGCUAACUACGUGCCAGCAGCCGCGGUAAUACGUAGGGGGCGAGCGUUGUCCGGAAUCAUUGGGCGUAAAGCGCGUGUAGGCGGCUUGGUAAGUCCGGUGUGAAACCUUGGGGCUCAACCCCAAGCCUGCACUGGAUACUGCCUCGCUUGAGUCCGGGAGGGGAGAGCGGAAUUCCUAGUGUAGCGGUGAAAUGCGCAGAUAUUAGGAAGAACACCGGUGGCGAAGGCGGCUCUCUGGAACGGUACUGACGCUGAGACGCGAAAGCGUGGGGAGCGAACAGGAUUAGAUACCCCCGUAGUCC
Molecule: ribosomal RNA, 448 nt
Filed under: uncultured bacterium
Lineage: Bacteria
Description: bacterial SSU rRNA
Rfam family: Bacterial small subunit ribosomal RNA
Source: RNAcentral